Long non-coding RNA from Anguilla anguilla (European eel), 3685 nucleotides. RefSeq lists it as uncharacterized. The transcript has 2 exons. NCBI's taxonomy places the organism in Eukaryota, Metazoa, Chordata, Actinopteri, Anguilliformes, Anguillidae. The record is from RefSeq and is a predicted model, not a curated record.
AGCCUGUACAGCGAAUGAAACGCAUGAAGAAGCAUACGUUUUACCGCGCUAUUACGUAGAGAAAAUCAGAAUCAGAAAUCAAAAAUCCUGUAACCCUAAUUAUUUCAUGUUUAAAAUCCACAGCGCACCUGGAAAAGGCACCAGCCGAGGGUCGUGUGAAUAAGGCAUCUAUUCACUGCGCUGGCCCAUUAACGAAUGCAGCCCAAGAUCACACACCUCAAACCUUCACAUUGCAAUUGCCACUGAUUGACUUAGUAUACAGUUAAAGUUGAAAUAUGUCUGUGAGCCUAACAAAUAUUUAAUAGCUAAUGAAUUCUGAAUAUUUUUCUGCAUAAAAUUUACAUACAUUUAUAUACAUUUCUCUAACGAGUCAGUUUUUUCCGAAGGGUCCACAUGAAGAUAAAAAGACUUCUAACUGCAUCGGAAGCUCAGAGGUGGCAGUUGUUGCUUUUGAAGUACUAAUGCAACAUAAGGGGCAGGUUAUUGUGUGCAAAUUGGAUAGAGGGUUUGUCAUGAGUUUGAGAAGUAAGGAGGAAGUGCUGGACACCUCUGUGCUAUAUCUUCUGAUCUUUUUGCAUCCACAACAUCAAGUUUGUGUUUUAUUUCUUUUGAAGAACACUUGGAUGCCUAUUGGCUAAAAUAGCACGCGUCCUUUUGCAUAACUGCAUUGAUUCUCUGAACUGGUAUUUAAAAAUCGGAAUAUUUUAAAAGUGCUUAAGAUGGAAAAUCACUGUUUUUAUUGUAGCUUCUUUUAAAAGUCCAAGAAAUUUGACAUUUUAGAUAGCGUACAAUUUACGCAACAAAAUUAAGAGAAGUAAUAAUUGGUGUGAUGAUUGUAUUUGAAGAGUUGAAAUUAUGCUCAAAUUGAAUAGCUAUAUUGCGGAUGUGUGCAUGAGUGCGUCGCAUGUGGUGUGAAGUGAUGGAUAUGGUCAGAAUUAAAUUUUCAGAGCGUAAAACAACUGGAAGAAAAACUUACAUUUCUAUAUUAUGAAAUGCAUUCAUUAUGAGCGAGCCUGGAGAGAAUCUUUCUGGGGCACCCCUGGUGAUGUCACGCACGACAGGGUCAGCGCACGGCAGACCCCUGCAAGUUUAAUAUGCAAAUGCCACUAAUGGCCCGUAACAUGCUGUGUGCACGUUUGUGUAUGAAAUGAACAAUUUUCCCCAUUAUCCACAUAUAGUCAGUGGGACAUUUUUAGGCAAUUCAAAUUUAGAACAUUACUAUCUGCUACAAUGGCAGUGACCCAGCUGGGAGUCAAAGCUAUACUUCCCCAGUGGCUAUACCACUAUUCAUACCUGUAUCUUAUCAACCCGCUGUAGCUAAGCAGGGUUAGCAUUGGUUAUUACUUGGUUGGGUCAUUUCCUGGGGAAGCUAAUGGUUUAUUCAAUAGGCAGUAUGUUCCGUCUAAUUGGCCAUACCCGCAACAUUCUGCAUCCAAACGUUCAGUCCAGUCCUGUGUUGGUUAACAUGUUCGGUAAUAUUUUAUUGCUUUUGAAUAGACUCGAAGUUGCUGCUGGAAGAGGUAUUUUGGUGGGCCAGGAGGCGGCACCCUUCUUUUGGACUAUGCAGGAAAACCACUGCCCUAGGGUAUAGGGUUAAAAAAUAUGGCCCUCCAAUCCAAAUCCAUCCCUGGAUUUCUAUCCUCCCUGGGCAUUAACUGAACAAUUGGCGCUAUUGAUUGGCCAUGCUGUCUUUACACCUGACUCCCAGGUGAAGGGAGGAUGGAAAACCAUGAUUUGAUUAUCCCUGUGCACUGUUGGAGGCUCUUUGGACGCCAUUUUUGGAUGUGACAUUGUGAGGUCCUAAGAGGUCCUGGCUCUCUCUGGUCAUUAAAAUCUGAUGCCACAAAAUCCCAUAGUACCUGGCACAUAACUGUCUUUAAAGAUUUGGAUAAAACAUGUUGCCGGACAGAAACGUCUCAAAAGUUUUUGGGUGAAGAACAUAAAGAUGUACAGUGUUGUCGAGGGACAUCUUUUGUCAAAUUAGUGUUGAGCACCCGGAAGCUCAAUAACAUCUUUGUUGCGGCCGUGUACAGAUGCAGCCAUCAUUAAGAUUUAUUAAAAAUAAAAUGUAAUCACACAUUUGACAGCGGGGUCAUCACUGGCAGACUCGGUGCUCACAAAAUGUCACAACCCACGUAGCCCAGUAUUUCUGUUCCUACUUAGUGGCCUUGUUAAUGCUCCUUCCCCCACACGCCCGUCAUUUUGAAUGCAUGUUUUUGAAUGCAUGUGCGACCCGGUUUUUGAAGGCCCGCUCUUGCCCACGGUUUAAUUAUGCCACAGGAAAGAACAUCUCUGCGAUUAAAAGCUCCUUCAGAACCGAGCGUGUGGCAUAUCCCUAAUGACUGCCAAUGUCCUGUGGAGGAUGCAUUAGAACCUAUAAGAAUAUAAUAGCACUUUGCAGUGAAUGAUGAUGUACCACGGCUGACUCAUCCUACUCCCCACAGUGUACUAUUCCGUUUGCACGCGGACAGUUGAUACUCUCUUCAGUUCCACCACUCGCUCCUCAAUAAUGCAUGCCCAACCCGGAGGGGAGAUCGCCUGAGAUCACUGAACCUCAACGUCUGACUAGGGUUUCCACCACCGAAAGAAUGGUGGCAGUUGACUUUACUUUAUUCAAGUGCUCUUUACACUUGUAAUUCAAAAAAUGUUUUGAAUGCUUUAAGGUGUGACCCAAGGAAUUCCAGUUUAGAGGUUGCAUUGCUCUUAUUAAUUGAUUUUAAAAGGUAACCAAAUAUAAUCCUUUUCUUGUUUUCUGUAUUUGGUUGAGAUGUGGAUUUAUUCAUAUGCACUGCGUACAUAGAUUUUGAGUGAUGUGUAAGUAUUAAUACAGGAACUGAUGGUUAAAUCGUGCAAACUCACAUCCUGGAACAUCACAGCUAAAGUGUAAAGUAGAAUUUUUUUUCUCCGAACCUGUGUCCUGGAAACAUAGUGGAUUGCAUAACCAUUCUCCUUAAUUAUAAUUAGAGUUAAUUAUAUUUGUGCCAUUGUGUGUCAGAAGCAUUGUGUGUUUUGCGGAAACACAAGCACCACCGGUAUGUAAAUGUUUAUUUUUUAAUCCCGAUAAAUAUAUGGGGAUCAAAUGUAAAUCAGCUAUGUGUAAAUUAAUUGAAAUAUCCAACGCGUGGUUUAAGGGGUUAAUUGCAAACUGCUUAAUUUUGCUAAUUGCCUCUGCUAUGCAGUGCGUCAGAGCUCCUUGCGUGAGGGUCUAUAUAUGUAGAGCCGGGUGUAGGAGAGGACUCCUGAGAUUGUCUGCUGGGUGCACCAUGAACCUGCUGGUGAGCUACUUCGUACCCCUAAUCCUCAUCUCAUGGGGAGGUCAGCGCGCUGGGGCACUGCCCACAGGAGACAGACUGGCGCUGCUGGGCAAUGGGGCAUUGGCUCAGGAGCACAUAGACUUUCUGUUGAAGAUGCUGUCGGGACUGCCAGAACUCAGCGGUCAGGAGGAGGAGGAGGAGGACACUGAUUUGGACAGUGACCUGCAGCAGCAGCGGCGGGUCAAAUUCAGGGAGAGGUCCCUCGUCGGUCGGCCCGUCCCCCGUGAGCGCUCCCCCUGCAAGAACUUCUUCUGGAAGACCUUCUCCUCCUGCUAAUGCCGCCCAAGAUCCAGCCGCUGCCACCGGUGCCACGGCGAGGGCCUGUUACGGCUGUCAUCUCAUCUCAGUGUGAAUAAACUGCUAAACUGCGA